This 510-nucleotide ribosomal RNA is filed under the name uncultured bacterium. RNAcentral's name for it is "partial 16S ribosomal RNA". It matches the Rfam family "Bacterial small subunit ribosomal RNA", at positions 28 to 507 of the family's 1533-position model. The record is from RNAcentral.
GACGAACGCUGGCGGCGUGCUUAACACAUGCAAGUCGAACGAAGAGCGAUGGAAGCUUGCUUCUAUCAAUCUUAGUGGCGAACGGGUGAGUAACGCGUAAUCAACCUGCCCUUCAGAGGGGGACAACAGUUGGAAACGACUGCUAAUGCCGCAUACGAUCUGACCUCGGCAUCGAGGAUAGAUGAAAGGUGGCCUCUAUUUAUAAGCUAUCACUGAAGGAGGGGAUUGCGUCUGAUUAGCUAGUUGGAGGGGUAACGGCCCACCAAGGCGAUGAUCAGGAGCCGGGCUGAGAGGAUGAACGGCCACAUUGGGACUGGGACACGGCCCAGACUCCUACGGGAGGCAGCAGUGGGGAAUCUUCCGCAAUGGACGAAAGUCUGACGGAGCAACGCCGCGUGAGUGAUGACGGCCUUCGGGUUGUAAAGCUCUGUUAAUCGGGACGAAAGGCCUUCUUGCGAAUAGUUAGAAGGAUUGACGGUACCGGAAUAGAAAGCCACGGCUAACUACGUG